ACAAAAUUGAAACCCAAAAAUCUGCUCAUUCUCUUCUCCAUACUGCCGAAACUUUCAGAAAGCCAUGGCUAGGGUUUCAAGCUUUUUCAAAGUUCAAUUAUCGAAGAAAUCGAGAUUUGGACUAAGUACGGGGAAAUAUAAAUCAAAAUGAUCGAUUCGCGUUGAGGUAAGUUCAUAUGGUUAGUCUAAGUGAUCGAUUAUUAAAUUUGAAUUGAGAUGAUGUUUUAUUUUAUAUAUAUUUGUUAUUUAAUCAUGACUUUAUGCAAGUACAAGAUUAGAUUGAAGGAUCAAUCGUGAGAAAUGCAGGGUCAAGUACAUUCGUACUACAACUCAUGAUGAAUUGAUGGAAAAGACCAUGGUUGGACCAUGGCAGUGAGUGUGCCAGUGUAAGACCAUGGCUGGGACAUGGCAUCGGCACAGACCGAGGAGUGCUAGUGUAAGACCAUGUCUGGGACAUGGCAUCGGCACGGACAUAGGAGAGCCAGUGUAAGACCAUGUCUGGGACAUGGCAUCGGCUCGAGAUGAGGGCCAGAGUAAGACCAUGUCUGGGACAUGGCAUCGGCAUCGAUAUGUGAUCUCAUGUAAGACCAUAUCUGGGAUAUGGCAUUGACGUCCUACUAGGUGUACGAAAUAUCCCAAACAUCCCUAAUAUUACAAGUAGUUCAACGGGAAAUUUAAGGAGUAUGCUCAAGAUAAGUAAGAGUAGGAUAUGUGAGUAUUAUGACUAGGCACAGGUAUGUAUAUGAGACUCAUAAAUAAUGUGCUCAGAUUAUGAUGCAUUAUUAAUAAGGAUGCAAACGAAUAAGUUUGUAUGUGAUUAAUUCCUUGUUUUUACUUACGUUUUAACAUUUUUUAUGAGAUAUGAUUGAAUAUGGAAUAAUUACUUGAGGUGAAUAAUGAAUUACGGUUGAAUA
This is a long non-coding RNA of Gossypium raimondii (Peruvian cotton), 914 nucleotides long. RefSeq lists it as uncharacterized. NCBI's taxonomy places the organism in Eukaryota, Viridiplantae, Streptophyta, Magnoliopsida, Malvales, Malvaceae. The record is from RefSeq and is a predicted model, not a curated record. The transcript is spliced from 2 exons.